GGUCCUGUAGCUCAAUUGGCAGAGCAACUGACUCUUAAUCAGCAGGUUGAAGGUUCGAGUCCUUCCAGGAUCA
This 73-nucleotide transfer RNA is filed under the name Chloroflexota bacterium. RNAcentral's name for it is "tRNA-Lys". It matches the Rfam family "tRNA". Rfam says of the family: Transfer RNA (tRNA) molecules are approximately 80 nucleotides in length. Their secondary structure includes four short double-helical elements and three loops (D, anti-codon, and T loops). The record is from RNAcentral. Lineage: Bacteria; Bacillati; Chloroflexota. RNAcentral also lists the same sequence under 2 other names.